This 291-nucleotide ribosomal RNA is filed under the name Klebsiella quasipneumoniae subsp. similipneumoniae. RNAcentral describes it as "partial 23S ribosomal RNA". It matches the Rfam family "Bacterial large subunit ribosomal RNA", at positions 2093 to 2383 of the family's 2925-position model. The record is from RNAcentral. Lineage: Bacteria; Pseudomonadati; Pseudomonadota; Gammaproteobacteria; Enterobacterales; Enterobacteriaceae.
GUGAACCUUUACUAUAGCUUGACACUGAACAUUGAGCCUUGAUGUGUAGGAUAGGUGGGAGGCUUUGAAGCGUGGACGCCAGUCUGCGUGGAGCCAACCUUGAAAUACCACCCUUUAAUGUUUGAUGUUCUAACGUUGGCCCCUAAUCGGGGUUGCGGACAGUGUCUGGUGGGUAGUUUGACUGGGGCGGUCUCCUCCCAAAGCGUAACGGAGGAGCACGAAGGUUAGCUAAUCCUGGUCGGACAUCAGGAGGUUAGUGCAAUGGCAUAAGCUAGCUUGACUGCGAGCGUG